UUAAAGAGUUCUAUAACUCCCAAACCCAUGUGAACAUACCUAACGUUGCCUCGGCAGGUCGCACCUACCUUGUAGCACCUUACCCUGUAAGGCCUACCCGGGAGGUGCGGGUAAGCCUGCCGGCGGCCCACCAAACUCUGUUUGAUAUUGAAUUCUGAACCUAUAACUAAAUAAGUUAAAACUUUCAACAACGGAUCUCUUGGUUCUGGCAUCGAUGAAGAACGCAGCGAAAUGCGAUAAGUAAUGUGAAUUGCAGAAUUCAGUGAAUCAUCGAAUCUUUGAACGCAUAUUGCGCCCAUUAGUAUUCUAGUGGGCAGGACCGUUCGAGCGUCAUUUCAACCCUUAAGCCUUCGUUGCUUAGUGUUGGGAGCCUACGGCAACGUAGCUCCUCAAAGUUAGUGGCGGAGUUGGUUCACACUCUAGACGUAGUAAUUUUUUAUCUCGCCUAUUAGUUGAACUAAUACCCUGCCGUAAAACCCCCAAUUUAUCAAGGUUGACCUCGAAUCGGUUCAGACAAACUCGCUAAAUUGAAGCAUCUUAGUCAGCGAAGGAAAAGAAACCAACAGGGAUUGCCCUAGUAACGGCGAGUGAAGCGGCAACAGCUCAAAUUUGAAAUCUGGCCCUCGGGUCCGAGUUGUAAUUUGUAGAGGAUGCUUUUGGCGCGGUGCCUUCCGAGUUCCCUGGAACGGGACGCCUUAGAGGGUGAGAGCCCCGUACGGUUGGACACCAAGCCUCUGUAAAGCUCCUUCGACGAGUCGAGUAGCUUGGGAAUGCUGCUCUAAAUGGGAGGUAAAUUUCUUCUAAAGCUAAAUAUUGGCCAGAGACCGAUAGCGCACAAGUAGAGUGAUCGAAAGA
This 855-nucleotide ribosomal RNA is filed under the name fungal endophyte. RNAcentral's name for it is "eukaryotic LSU rRNA". The stretch from base 495 to 855 matches the Rfam family "Eukaryotic large subunit ribosomal RNA", at positions 1 to 364 of the family's 3401-position model. Lineage: Eukaryota; Fungi. The record is from RNAcentral.